Nelumbo nucifera (sacred lotus) is the source of this 5529-nucleotide RNA transcript. RefSeq lists it as uncharacterized. NCBI's taxonomy places the organism in Eukaryota, Viridiplantae, Streptophyta, Magnoliopsida, Proteales, Nelumbonaceae. The record is from RefSeq and is a predicted model, not a curated record.
CGGAGUUUAGACCACUAGCGGUUAUUGUGGGUCAGAUCUGACGGCCGGGAAUUAGAAAUCCCGGCCGUGAUCUGACCCACAAGACACCAAAGAAGUUGUCCCUGCAACGGUAUCGGCUAGGGUGCUGAGUCGCCGUCUCUCUUCGUCCAACACAACAAACCCUUCUCUUUCCCUCUCCCUCUGUGGCUACUCUUCCCUCAUCUCUCUCUCCUUCUUCUUCUCUCUUUCCUUGCCUUUAUUUUCGUCCCUUUCAGCUGUCUCUCUCCCGAUCAGACGAACGAUAAUCCUCCACGUCCACGUCGUCUUCUUCGACUCAUGCUCCCUGUUAUAUAACCGCCUCGUUCGCUUCUUCUUUCCUGUUUCUUCUGUUUCUAGGGUUUCCUUUCCACAAAUGCGAGAAGAGGAGGGAGAAAUCGAUGACUCCAUGGUGCCUGCGCUUGUUGAUCAAUCGAUGCUCGUAUUUUGAUCGAGGAUCUGAACUUAUUCGUGGAUGUAGACGGAGAAACUGUUUUCAGUGACGAAUUAGGUAUGGUCGUUUUUUUGUUCAGAUAGAAGCUGAGAAUUUGCCGUUUUGGGAGGAGGAAGAACUGAGAUUGCACCAUCUUCUUGUAGUUCGGAUGGCGAUUGUAAAGAAUAACUUUAGGGUUUCGAAAAUUGAUGGCGAGUUUUCUCCUGGGAGUAGAGACAGUAUGUCGACUGAGGAGGAUGAGCUUCCAAGGCGAAGCUCUGCCUCCGAAUCUGACAAUGAUGAAGAAGAAGAAGAUGAUGGUGCUGACUCGGGAGCAGGUUCUGAUGACUUUGAUAUGUCAGAAUUGGGUGAAACUGGAACAGAAUUUUGUCAAAUUUGGAACCAGAACUGUCGUAUACCGUUUGAGCUCUAUGAUCUUCCAGACUUGGGGGAAGUUUUGACAUUAGAUGUGUGGAACAACUGCCUGACUGAAGAGGAGCGCUUUAGCCUUGCAGAGUAUCUUCCCGACAUGGACGAGGCGACUUUCAUGCGUACCCUGAAAGAGCUCUUCUCUGGAAGCAAUUUUCAUUUUGGAAGUCCGGUUGCUAAACUCUUCAAUUUGUUGAAGGGAGGACUAUGUGAACCGAGAGUUUCCCUUUAUCAGCAUGGUUUGAAUUUAUUCCAGAAGCGCCAGCAUUACCACCUCCUGCGCAAAUAUCAGAACUCCAUGGUCAGUAAUCUUAUUCAGAUAAGGGAUGCUUGGGAGAACUGUGUAGGAUACAGUAUUGAAGAGAGGCUUCGUGUUCUGAAUAUAAUGAGAAGUGAAAAGAUUCUUAUGUACGAGAAGAUGGAAGACAUUGGACUAGAGAGUGGCUCCUCAGAUUGGGAGGAAUCUCGUAAAGGCUUCUGGGGAAAAAGACCAAAGGACAUUAAACUUGGGCCAAAAGCAGAAUGUGGUGCUGUUUAUACAGUAAGUCCUAUGUUGGGUGUUUCUUCUCAAGGGAAGCUUAUGACACUGAAAUCAGCAAAAUAUGGAAAGCAAAACCCUAAAGGAAUAUUGAAGUUUGCUGGAUCAAAAGUUCCUUCUACAAAAGACAUGGUGGGUCGUGUUCCUUCCACUCAACAUGGUUUGGAAAUGAAGUCUAGGUCAUCUCUUCCAGUGUUAGCUCACCCUCAGCAAGAACGGGUGGUGGGAUAUGGAUAUGGAGCUGCUCACUGGUCAAGGGGUCAGGUAGGAGGUGAGGAAGAUAUCGAUGAUGCAGCAUAUGAUUUGGCUCUCCAGAGGGAUCGACAUGGUGCACGUGGCAGUGUUAUUGCUAAAGUUGGCACGUUAAAAUCAGGAAAGAAGUCUGAUUCUUUCAAAAGUGACUUCUAUGUUGACAAUUUUAUGGGUGGAAAUUGUAAUGUGAAUCAGAGGGCAGAUAUGGAGUUAUUGACAGAAAAAAUGAACAACCAAAGAGCUUCUGGGAAGAAGGCUAAGUAUCUUGGGAAGCCUCAGAAAUCUGUGGUAGGUCAGAUGAAGAUCGCAAAAGACAGAGCACAGCUUCUGUUAUUGAAGGGAAGUCAUCUUGACUGGUCUUCUGGAAGUGAACCCUUUAGACAUAACAAAUUACAAGGAGAAGCCUUUGAGGCUGAUUAUCCAGUCAAUUUUGAUGAUUGGAGUGUUAGAAGCAAGAAAUGGAAGAUGGGGAAGGAUUUUCAAACUGGUAAAAACGGUGUAGGUUCUGAUUCAAAAAUUAAAUAUAGAGCAUUCCCAACCCUUAUGGAUGAUAAAUUCACUUACACAUCAAAAAAACUACAAGAGAAAGUCAAGCAGAAAUCUUCUAAAACUGGAGGAGUGAAAAUGGAAAAACUGAGAGGCAUUAAUAUGUUUGGCCAGAGUGAGGAGACAGAGUCAGAUUCAGCAGAGCAGGGAAAUGAAGAGGAUGAUAUUAAUCUUCUGCGAAGUAAUAUGGCCUAUCCUGGUGGUACCUUGGAAGGUCAUAGGUCCGCUUCUGUCAAAUAUUUGUUAGAUCCUAAAAGAUCCAAUAAACUUGUGAGAAAAGAUAAAAAGGAAUAUGCUCAGGCUCUUGAUGCAGUCACAUACUCAUCCAAGAGGGCAGGUGAUUUUGAUGAGCAGAUGCAUACAUGUGAUGUAGAAAUUUACUCGUCCAAAGGAAAAUAUAAAAAUAAGGCACUUGAUCCCAGUUACUAUGCUGCUGGAAUCUUGGCAAGUAAUUUUUCUACUUCAACUAAAUGGUCUGAUGAUGAUUGGGACCAGACUUACAAGUUGGGGAAGAAUGGUCAGUUGCAGGGUGAACCUCAUGAAAGGUCAACUCCACCAUUGUUGAAGGCCUACCCUGCAGAAAGGAAGAAAAAAGGAAAAAUUAAACCUGAUUAUAUUGUUUCUCAGUCAAACUACAUGCAUGAUUAUGUUAGUGAUGAUGGUGAUGAUGAUGAGGAUGAUUUGCACUUGACACAUAGAUCAGUGGAUGAUCACAGGCAGACUAAUAGGUUGUGGAAGAAAGGGAAAAACGUUGGAACUCAUUCAAGCAAUAAUCAUGAAAGGUCGAGUAUGUCAUUGUUAGGGUGUGGCUCAGUGACAAAGAAGCGGAAAGGCAAGGGAGAUGUGACAUACAUGGAUGAGCCAAAUGAAUCUGGUUACAUGCAGUCAAGUUCUCACCAACAGAUUGAUGACACAGCUUCCUUGAAGAAACGGGGAAAAAGGAAAGUGGAGCCUGAAACUGGCUCUUUGGCAAAGUUAACUUCUGAGCCACUUGUUUCAGAAAGGGGAACAGUAGAUGUAGAGCCAGAAAAAAAACCAGCAAAAAAGUCAUUCCCUCUGAUCACACCUACUGUUCAUACUGGCUUCUCAUUCUCCAUUAUGCAUCUUCUCUCAGCUGUUCGCUUGGCAAUGAUUACUCCAUAUGCAGAAGACACCUUGGAGUUUGGCAAACACCUUGAGAAGAAAGUUGGAAGACAGAAGCCUUAUAAAGGAGAGGCUGCAAAGUAUGAAAGCUUCAUUGGGAAUGAGAAUCUGGAUAUCAAUGAUUCGGCACUUGCAGCACAGAAGAAUUUGCCUUCUCUCACUGUUCAAGAGAUUGUCAACCGUGUGAGGUUGAACCCUGGAGAUCCUUGUAUUCUUGAAACACAGGAGCCACUUCAGGACUUGGUCAGGGGGGUACUGAAAAUAUUUUCAUCUAAAACAGCACCUUUAGGUGCAAAGGGUUGGAAACCACUCGCAUUUUAUGAAAAAUCUACAAAAAGUUGGUCAUGGGUUGGGCCAGUUUACUCUAGCUCAUCAGAUAACGAGGUUGUUGAAGAGGAGACUUCUUAUCAUGCCUGGUGUCUUCCACACAAGAUGCUUGUGAAGUUGGUUGAUUCAUUUGCUAAUUGGCUGAAAAGUGGUCAAGAAACACUUCAGCAAAUAGGAUGCCUUCCUGCACCACCCGUGACACUGAUGCAACCCAAUUUGGAUGAGAAGGAAAGAUUCAGGGAUCUAAGAGCUCAGAAGAGUCUCACCACUAUCAGUCCAAGCUCUGAAGAAGUAAGGGCUUAUUUUCGUAAAGAGGAAGUCCUUAGGUAUUCUGUUCCAGACAGGGCCUUCUCUUACACAGCAGCUGAUGGUAAAAAAUCAAUUGUUGCUCCUUUGAGAAGGUGUGGUGGCAAGCCAACAUCAAAAGCCCGAGACCAUUUUAUGCUUAAACCUGAUCGACCACCUCAUGUUACAAUCCUUUGUCUUGUAAGGGAUGCAGCUGCAAGAUUGCCUGGAAGUAUUGGCACUAGGGCAGAUGUUUGUACCCUGAUAAGAGACUCACAGUAUAUUGUUGAAGAUGUUUCGGAUGCACAAAUUAACCAAGUAGUUAGUGGAGCACUGGACCGCCUUCAUUAUGAACGUGAUCCUUGUGUCCAAUUUGAUGGAGAUAGGAAGUUAUGGGUUUAUCUACAUAGAGAGAGAGAAGAAGAAGAUUUUGAAGAUGAUGGCACCUCAUCUACAAAAAAAUGGAAAAGACAAAGGAAGGAUGUUACGGAGCAAACAGACCUUGGAAUAACCAAUGUGGACUAUCAUGGGUCUGCGGAGCAAAUUGCAAGCAGUACAGCUGUUGGACGUGAUUUGAGCUUUGAUCCAAAUGUUGAAUCCUCAUCGAUGCAUGAAAUGAAGGAAAAGGAACUUGAUUGUGAUGAUUUGAGGCAAAAUGUGAAUGGGGAUUUGGAGACGUUUGAUGGCUCAGCACAAGAUGGUAUUCAUCAUGGUCACACAAUGGAUUGGAACACUAUCAAUUUAAAUCCCAUGCGGGAUAGCAAAAUGCUGUGUCAAGAAAAUUCCAUGAGUGAAGAUUUUAAUGAUGAAUCAUUUAGCAGAGGAAGGCCUCUUGGGAUUUUAAGUGCAAGCUUAUUGUGAGGAAUAAUAGAUUAGUUGGACACACCUUGUUUUCCAGGAGUGGUCCAGGUGUAGAAGUCCAGCAAAUAUUCAUCACCAAAUAUGCAUGGCAUGAUCAUCCCAUUUGAGGUGCAUAGCUGUACAUUGAAGAACAACGUUACAUAUUAGCUAUGGAAACUAGUAGGCCUGUUCUGGUAGUCUUGUUCAUGUUCUCAAGUUGAUGUACAACACUUGGGACAUGAGUUCUUCCUGGGGAACAGAGAUUCCCUAAUUUCUUGAAUUUGUUCUGUUUCCUUUGCAAGUCUCAGCAAUAUAAUUGGAACUCUCAACUCUUUAUUGACUUCUGAAGACAAACCUUGAUAACAGAGCCUUGAGCCCUCACAAUUUGCUUCACAGUUGUGAGCAUCUAGAGGUUGCACCUCAGUCCAUUUUCUUGUACUUGCCUGGAGGCAAAAGCCUUAAAAGCUGUUUUCCCUCUUGAUGGACAACGAUAAAUUUGUUGAAGAGAAAGCGAACGCAAGGAUGGAAUAUGAAGAGGAUCUUACCAAAGGGAAAGCAACAAGUCAAUUGAAAAGCAAAGAAAUCUGAACGCCAUAAAUGGAUAAAACCCAAAACCUGCUUCCUAAUCUGCUUAGAGACAAGAUCGUUCGUAAGAAUGCCUGCAAUCGAUUUGUUGAUUCAUGGACCCAAGAGAACAAGAUGUUCAAGCAGUGUCUCAUCC